CAUGAGAAGCCAAAGAGCACAACUCCACCAAAUGGGAUAAAGCUAUUGGUGAUGAUGGAAGAUGGCAGUUUCAUUCCUUCCAUCAUUAACACCCCUACAGCUUUUCCACCUACUGCUUGGAGCUGAUCCAGAGAGGAGAUGAGAGCCGCUGGCCCUGUCUGUGAUUCUGGGGGAGCUCAUCAUGCCGGCUUCACGGUGCAGCAUCAGGCAGAGCUGCGCGGGACUGUUGGUAUUGAGCAGGGAGGAGCGCCCCGGGCAAAAUCCAUCAAAAAGGAGCUGUUUGCACUGUGGGAAUAGACAUGAAUAAUCCAUGCUUUCUUUACCAUUUCCUCAGUAACUUUUCAGAGGGGAAAAUACAAUCUCCCAUCUCAUGAUGCCCUGGCACAGAUUCUACCAGAUAAUCAGCUGCUUCGCAGAAGAGCAAAGACUGAGCUUCCAGGCACUGCCCAGCUAGACCAGAAUACUAAAGCUGAGAGGGCAGACUCUACCGAGAACAAAC
Astatotilapia calliptera (eastern happy) is the source of this 499-nucleotide long non-coding RNA. The record is from Ensembl. NCBI's taxonomy places the organism in Eukaryota, Metazoa, Chordata, Actinopteri, Cichliformes, Cichlidae.